AAGAGGAAGGCCAGCACUUGUGAGGAGACGCCCAGAAAAAUGCAGAAGAGCUCUGAGCUCAACCAGAGCUCCUGCAGCUCUUCAUCUUCACAAGGGAAGAAUGGAAGCACACUCCCUGAAGUGAUAACAAGUAGAGCUGAUUUUGAGGAGCGGUAUAUGCCAGAUCGGAGAAGAUGUCUGUGGACCUGUGUAUGCUGGUUUCCGAUCAAUUGAUUACACACCAGUAGCUAUUAAAUAUGUUAAAGGGCCACAUGUGGCAAUGUAUCAUAUGAAAUGAACG
This is a long non-coding RNA of Thunnus maccoyii (southern bluefin tuna), 280 nucleotides long. RefSeq lists it as uncharacterized. Lineage: Eukaryota; Metazoa; Chordata; Actinopteri; Scombriformes; Scombridae. The record is from RefSeq and is a predicted model, not a curated record. The transcript is spliced from 3 exons.